AGUAGGUAGCUUARCCUUCGGGAGGGCGCUUACCACUUUGUGAUUCAUGACUGGGGUGAAGUCGUAACAAGGUAACCGUAGGGGAACCUGCGGUUGGAUCACCUCCUUACCUUAAAGAAGC
This 121-nucleotide ribosomal RNA is filed under the name Escherichia coli. RNAcentral's name for it is "partial 16S ribosomal RNA". It matches the Rfam family "Bacterial small subunit ribosomal RNA", at positions 1425 to 1533 of the family's 1533-position model. The record is from RNAcentral. Lineage: Bacteria; Pseudomonadati; Pseudomonadota; Gammaproteobacteria; Enterobacterales; Enterobacteriaceae.